Molecule: ribosomal RNA, 468 nt
Filed under: uncultured bacterium
Lineage: Bacteria
Description: partial 16S ribosomal RNA
Rfam family: Bacterial small subunit ribosomal RNA
Source: RNAcentral
GACGAACGCUGGCGGCGCGCCUAACACAUGCAAGUCGAACGGAGUCAAGAGGAGCUUGCUUUUCUUGACUUAGUGGCGAACGGGUGAGUAACGCGUGAGUAACCUGCCCUGGAGUGGGGGACAACAGUUGGAAACGACUGCUACUACCGCAUAAGCCCACGGAUCCGCAUGGCUCUGCGGGAAACGGAUUUAUUCGCUUCAGGAUGGACUCGCGUCCAAUUAGCUAGUUGGUGAGGUAACGGCCCACCAAGGCGACGAUUGGUAGCCGGACUGAGAGGUUGAACGGACACAUUGGGACUGAGACACGGCCCAGACUCCUACGGGAGGCAGCAGUGGGGGAUAUUGCACAAUGGGGGAAACCCUGAUGGAGCGACGCCGGGUGGAGGAAGAAGGUUUUCGGAUUGUAAACUCCUGUAGUUAGGGACGAUAAUGACGGUACCUAACAAGAAAGCACCGGCUAACUACGUG